Molecule: long non-coding RNA, 4968 nt
Organism: Pyrus x bretschneideri (Chinese white pear)
Lineage: Eukaryota; Viridiplantae; Streptophyta; Magnoliopsida; Rosales; Rosaceae
Exons: 2
Source: RefSeq, a predicted model, not a curated record
UAAGGGCAAAAUAGUAAUUUUAUAUGGAAAUAUUUACAUAAGAUAAAAAAUAUGCAUUUAUUAAGAGAAAUUGUCUCACAAUCACUUUUUUCAUACACGUAAGUGAAAUCAUGAUGUUUUUUGGAUAGUUUAAAUGAACUAAAGCCGUUGCGUUUGAGGAGAACGUGGAAGGAGAUGAGCGGUUGUUCACACAUACAAAGUGUGUGCUCAUCUCCUAAUCUCUAUAAAAUGAAGCUCAAACCAGCAGCUGUAUUGCACCUCCCAGUUAGGUCUCUUGCUCAAAAGACCACGUUCUUCUCCCUCCCUUCUUCCGCUUUGACAUGGGAUGAUGACUUAUGUGAGAUUUUUGCAGAAAAUAAAGAAAUCUAGAACAAGUCAACAAAUAUAUAUGAUCGAGGAUCGCCUGAUGUGUUGAUGUGUUUUGAUAUGGGUGAGUGGAUUCCAUGCUAAUGCUUGUCAAGUGAGCAGUCCCGUUGCAAAUAAUUUAGUUUCGUUGUCUGUUCGACCUGAAACCUAAGGUAAAGGUUAGGCAUAGUACCCUUGAAAACCCUAAUUAGAAAGUAAUCAUGUUUUUCUCUUUCUAAAUUAAUCAACUUGAUUGAUCAUCUAAGAAGUUAAACAAGGCAGCUUAUUAGUAGAUAACUAGCUAUUUAUCUUGUGGCAUCUUGGAGUAUGACCUAGUCGAUCGAGAUCGACUGCAGUAACCUAUAAAUUUGUUGAGUUAUGCAUAAAACAGUCACUAAACUAGAAGGGAAAAAAAAGAGCAAAAACUCCCAAGCUAAUCCAGUUUAUGUAUAUGCAUUUAUCAGAUUCAUUUGGGAAGUGGUUUAGGUAUCUUUUGGCUUUCCUUCUUUUCCUUUUGAAAUAUGAAGAAGAAAGAAAUUGAAAGAAAUAGUAAUAGGCUGGCUAUAAGUUGCUAAGUACCACUUUUGUGGUAAUUUAACAUCAUAAUUUUGAUAAUCGUUGGAAUUUUACCCUAGUUUUUGCGGCUGCGGCCACCAAUUUUAUAUUUUCAGGUGUAUGUCGGUUAUACUAAUUGAAUUGGAUUUGAAACUAAUCUAGUUACCAAAUUAGAUUAAGUUACUUACACUAAAGUAGUAUUUCCUUGAUUUCUAACUGUAAAAUGUAAUUAGCAUGAGCCGUAUAAGCAAGUCCUUAAUUAAUUAGAAAAAUAAUGUGGUUUAGGGUUUACCUAGUCGUGACUAGCUAGCCUGCUACCAUAGAAUGUUCAUAGGUCGAAGAGACAGCGAGCCUGAUGUAUAAGCAAGAGACUGUUCAUUUGACAAGGGUUUGCAUGGAAUUCAACAUCUUGAUUCUUGACUUUAUGUUUGCAUAUGAAGUUUAUUAGGAAGUGGAUCAACUUUCAUCAGAAAGGUGAUUAAAACCAGGUAAUUCACUUAGUCUCUCUUAGCCUCUAAUCUAGUCAACUUUUCUUUCUUUCUUCAAAUUAAUAUAUUUGAUAUUCUUGACAAAUUUCAACAUGUGAUUUGUGAUGAUGCAUGGAGGCUCAACUCCCAGUGAAGGGACGAUUGAGGAUCAUGAUCAGUUGCUACGUAGUGGCUCGAUUUGAUACGAAUGCCAAGAUUUGGAGUGAACAGCAAAGGGUCAAUGGUACACUACUAUAUAAUUACAUUGACAUUAUUUCCCAGCUUGCACCAUAUAUUAUUUGCAUAACACGAUAAAUACUAUGGAGUUUGUAUCAGUAUCUGUAAAUGCCUCGGUGUAAUUAGAUGUGAAACAACUAAACAUAAGUCAUUCGAUUUUGUCAAUAUUCUAAUGUGAAAUUCUUGUAUUUUUAUUUUGUUACCCGUAUAUAAUAUGAAAUUCAUAAACCUUUUUUAUGCUAACCAAAUUUAUAUGGUUUUGAAAAUUAAUCAUAGUAUUCAUCAAAAUUUAUCAUUAUCUGCACAUAUAUAAUUCAUUUCCCUGUAUAUCCUUCCGAUACAAAGUAAGAUUCUGAACUCUGGAUUUCUAUUUUAAUACUUUAGUAGAUAAAGUGUUGAUUUUCUAUCCAUGUGUUCCGGGUUUGAAACUUCCUCGCUCUCCUAAAUUAAUGUAAUAGUUUCGAACCCUCUUCAUCCACUUAAUAAUUGUAAUUUAAAAAAAAAAAAAAAAAACUCUUGAUCUCUAGUCUAAUUUUAUCCAUCUCCCUACCCAUACUCACCACUGGACUGGCCGCAGUUUUAGAUUCAUUUGUUUCUCAAAUGAUCUGAUUCACUUUUUAUAACAAAUUAGUAUAUUUGUUAUCUGGUUUUUUUUUUUUUUUUUCGAAACACAUGGAUUAAAAAGGGACAAUUGAUGGCAAGUCACGGUUAUCCAUCAUUUUCGGGAGUAUUUGUUAUCUGGUUUACCAAUUAAAUUAUCUGAUUUGAACUUUCUUUCUUUUUUGGGGGGUGAACAAAGUGAAGUGGGUUUAAACUUGGUUUCCAAUCAAUAAAGGUUUGUGGAUGCCCCUUCAUCCCCAAAUAUAAAAAAAACACAAGUACUCUACUUCUUCCAGCUGGUUGUUUUGCAGUAACCAAUUUUCCUAUUAAAUUAAAGAGUCAUGGUCUCUCAAAUGAGAACUUGUGAAGAUCAAAUGCAAAUUAGCCACAAAAUUAGAUUAGUUUAUAGACUUAAAAUAUUUGAUAACUUAAUAAAACAAAUCAAUAAAACGAGUUUUCUAAAGGUUCAUGGAUUUAAAUUGAUUAUUCUUUAUUAAGUUGUCAAAUACUUUAGAUCUUAACCUAAUACAAUCUUGUGUCUAAUAUGCAUCUCAUCCUCACAUAUCCUCAAAAUUUAAAGUCAUACUUACUACAGGGAGCUGCCAUUUCCAUCUUCAAAUGUGGUUGUGUACUUGAUAUGAUUUUGGAGGAAAAUCUUUUGCUUCAACAAUAUUCUAUUAAUGAGUUAUUUUUUCACUACCAUAAAUUAUGAUGUAUGCUUACUAUACACCUAAUCAUCUAUUACGUGUCUUUUCACCGAACUUUGAUUAACUUUCACAUUAAAUGUUAUCUUUUCAAUUUUGAAAAAAAUUAAACCAAGGUUAAGUGAAAUGACAUUUGAAAGAUUUUUAGAUAUAUAUUGAGCAUACACCAUAAUUUAUAGUGUUGAGGAAAAAUACUCUAAACGAUUCAUCUUUCAAGGAAUUUUGCAAGAUUACUUUGAGUAAUGACCUAAAAGGUUAUGGACUCAAAUUAAACAAAGUGAAUAGUGUCAUAUGCCGUAUUAAGUUACUAAACUACUUUAAAUGGUAUGUCUAGUAGCGUGGGUGGGGAUCGAACCACGACUUGUGAAAAGAUUUUGAAAGCUAUGUUUCCAAAAAAAUAUAUAACUCGUAGUGCCAUCCUAGAAUGUCAUUACGCUUUGUUUUGGGCCAACUAUAACAAUUAUGUUCCUUAUUUCCGGAAAUUUAAUUACCAAGAAACUUAAACGGUAAGAUGUAAGGUUUGCGUGCACUUUUUUGAUGUUCUAAUGUUUGUUAUGAGGGAGGGUUAGCUCUUUUUUACUCGAGCACUUGGCUGAUAUGGCCUAUGUUAUGUGAGGCUACAGAGCUAUUUGCAGUUAGUUUAGUUAGUUGGUUCAAGGGAAAUAACUAAUUUGCGUCAUCGAGUGCAGACUGCAAUGCAGUUAUUAUGGGAAGCUAUCAUCUCGUGCCAUGUGAAACUAAGUGUAUCUUUUCAUAAAUGGUACCCCUUACCAUCGUUGGUUGUAUAAGAUACGGUUGUUUCUAAGCAGCUGAUCUGCUUACUUUUGUCCAUAUCGAAGCAAGUUAAGAGCAUGAUGUUAAACCAUGGGCCGUUGCAACCUUAAAUUUCAUAGUUGACACUUUAUUUCAUUGUAACUCCGUAUCGGCCUAUCCGGAGUUUCACUCAAGCAGAGAAGAGACAAUCACACUUAUUGUCCAUAGAAUCUAGCAAUCGUAUGUUUUUGGUGGAGAUAAGUUACGAAGAUUUUGAUACUAGGUCUCGGUUAGGCGGGCCACAUGUGUUGUAAUCUUUGCCUUAUGGUUCACAUUGCUAGAGUUAAUUUCUGUCCACAAUGUAUGCUUAAUAAUUUAUGUAAUCAAGCUUGUCUUGAUGAAUUCAUGGUUAUCUCAGUAAGAAGGACUGAACAUAUGAUCCGUUUUGUCAUCUCCAGCUUCAAUGUUUUCAUCCCAAAGGUCUAAGCACUGAUAAUUUUUUCUGUUCACAGCUACAAAGGGAUCACGAAUUAAGAAGAUGGAUUAAAUUUGGCUUUGUAGUAGGAUGAGUCUUUUUUGGUUUUCUUUGCAGUUGUCCAUUGUGCUUCAGAUUAUUAAGGUCCCUUUGAACUGUAUUCUCGAAAAGUGAUUAAGUUGUAACAAGCCGGAUUUAAUUGUUCGGUCUUUCAGUUUGAUUCUUAAUUGUCAUAAGGCCCGGAGAUGUAGGGUAAGUAGGCUGCAACUUGAUUUUUCAUUGUUUAGUACUUUCGAUCAUCAUCUUUUACAGAAACUGAAACCGCGAUGGAUUGUAGAACAAUUACUUGUCUUUUACUUUUCAACUCAUCUCUGAGAUGUGAUGUUAUCUUUGCACUUGAGAAGUGAGGGAAAAGAAAAAGUAGAGGCUCUGAAAGCCUUCGGAGUUUCACAAAGAGAUGUGAUGACCCUUCUUCCAAUAGAACCUGCGGACGCACGCGUUGUCAAUCCCGAGAUCAGGAAGAAGAUUUUUGAAAAGUUAGAGAAGAUAAGGGAGCACUAAGCACUUUGGUUUGUCAAAGCCAAAAACCAAUGACGGGAAAGAGGCGUAUCCAUCACCGCCAUCGCCGGAGGAGAAAAAGCCUCAGACAUUGCUACCACCUGUUGAAGUAAUUCUCCCUUGAAAUGAGUAAUUGUCGAUUCAGAUAAAUGGUCAUCCCACUGUUGGGGUUGAUCAAACUUUUUUUUGGGUUCGGACUUUUGCUCUGUUAGUUGAGAACUCUAUGAACCUAUGAGUAAUAAACCUAUGAGUGCGUGAUCAUUUUUGCUCCUUA